RNAcentral lists this ribosomal RNA (440 nucleotides) under uncultured bacterium. RNAcentral's name for it is "partial 16S ribosomal RNA". It matches the Rfam family "Bacterial small subunit ribosomal RNA", at positions 338 to 795 of the family's 1533-position model. The record is from RNAcentral.
CCUACGGGAGGCAGCAGUGGGGGAUAUUGCACAAUGGGGGAAACCCUGAUGCAGCACCGCCGCGUGUGGGAAGAAGGUUUUCGGAUUGUAAACCACUGUCAUGGGGGAAGAAAAUGACGGUAACCAAGAAAAAAGCCCCGGCUAACUACGUGCCAGCAGCCGCGGUAAUACGUAGGGGGCAAGCGUUGUCCGGAUUUACUGGGGGUAAAGGGUGCGUAGGCGGCAGCGCAAGUCUGGAGUGAAAGCCCAUGGCUUAACCAUGGAACUGCUUUGGAAACUGUGCAGCUGGAGUGCAGGAGAGGUAAGCGGAAUUCCUAGUGUAGCGGUGAAAUGCGUAGAUAUUAGGAGGAACACCAGUGGCGAAGGCGGCUUACUGGACUGUAACUGACGUUGAGGCUCGAAAGCGUGGGGAGCAAACAGGAUUAGAUACCCGUGUAGUC